This 450-nucleotide ribosomal RNA is filed under the name uncultured Glomeromycotina. Its description in RNAcentral is "SSU rRNA". It matches the Rfam family "Eukaryotic small subunit ribosomal RNA", at positions 569 to 1027 of the family's 1831-position model. The record is from RNAcentral. Lineage: Eukaryota; Fungi; Glomeromycota.
AGCAGCCGCGGUAAUUCCAGCUCCAAUAGCGUAUAUUAAAGUUGUUGCAGUUAAAAAGCUCGUAGUUGAAUUUCGGGAUCAAUAUAUCGGUCGUGCCUCCGGUAUGCACUGGUAUUAUUGAUUUCUACCUUCUGACGAACUGUGGUGCCAUUAAUUUGGUGUCAUGGGGAAUCAGGACUGUUACUUUGAAAAAUUGAGUGUUUAAAGCAGGCACACGCUUGAAUACAUUAGCAUGGAAUAAUGAAAUAGGACGUUUGACCCUAUUUUGUUGGUUUCUAGGAUCGACGUAAUGAUUAAUAGGGAUAGUUGGGGCAUUAGUAUUCAAUUGUCAGAGGUGAAAUUCUUGGAUUUAUUGAAGACUAACUACUGCGAAGCAUUUGCCAAGGAUGUUUUCAUUAAUCAAGAACGAAAGUUAGGGGAUCGAAGACGAUCAGAUACCGUCGUAGUCUU